GACGAAGGAUCCAAGCGUUAUCCGGAUUCAUUGGGUUUAAAGGGUGCGUAGGCGGGUUUGUAAGUCCGUGGGGAAAGCCGGCAGCUCAACUGUCGAAUUGCCAUUGAUACUGCAGAUCUAGAAUAUAGAUGACGUUGGCGGAAUAUGACAUGUAGCGGUGAAAUGCGCAGAUAUCAGGAGGAACACCGGUGGCGAAGGCGGGUCUCUGGGCCGAUACUGACGCUGAGGAGCGAAAGCGUGGGGAGCGAACAGG
This 253-nucleotide ribosomal RNA is filed under the name uncultured bacterium. Its description in RNAcentral is "partial 16S ribosomal RNA". It matches the Rfam family "Bacterial small subunit ribosomal RNA", at positions 524 to 776 of the family's 1533-position model. The record is from RNAcentral.